CGUAGGGUGCAAGCGUUAAUCGGAAUUACGUGGGCGUAAAGCGUGCGCAGGCGGUUUUGUAAGUCUGUCGUGAAAUCCCCGGGCUCAACCUGGGAAUUGCGAUGGAGACUGCAAGGCUAGAAUCUGGCAGAGGGGGGUAGAAUUCCACGUGUAGCAGUGAAAUGCGUAGAGAUGUGGAGGAACACCGAUGGCGAAGGCAGCCCCCUGGGUCAAGAUUGACGCUCAUGCACGAAAGCGUGGGGAGCAAACAGGAUUAGAUACUCUGGUAGUCCACGCCCUAAACGAUGUCUACUAGUUGUCGGGUUUUAAUUAACUUGGUAACGCAGCUAACGCGUGAAGUAGACCGCCUGGGGAGUACGGUCGCAAGAUUA
RNAcentral lists this ribosomal RNA (371 nucleotides) under uncultured organism. RNAcentral's name for it is "bacterial SSU rRNA". It matches the Rfam family "Bacterial small subunit ribosomal RNA", at positions 526 to 896 of the family's 1533-position model. The record is from RNAcentral.